AACGAACGCUGGCGGCAUGCCUAACACAUGCAAGUCGAACGAGACCUUCGGGUCUAGUGGCGCACGGGUGCGUAACGCGUGGGAACCUGCCUUUAGGUUCGGAAUAACUCAGAGAAAUUUGAGCUAAUACCGGAUGAUGUCUUCGGACCAAAGAUUUAUCGCCUUUAGAUGGGCCCGCGUAAGAUUAGCUAGUUGGUGGGGUAAAGCCUACCAAGGCGACGAUCUUUAGCUGGUCUGAGAGGAUGAUCAGCCACACUGGGACUGAGACACGGCCCAGACUCCUACGGAGGCAGCAGUGGGGAAUAUUGGACAAUGGGCGAAAGCCUGAUCCAGCAAUGCCGCGUGAGUGAUGAAGGCCUUAGGGUUGUAAGCUCUUUUACCCGAGAUGAUAAUGACAGUAUCGGGAGAAU
Molecule: ribosomal RNA, 410 nt
Filed under: uncultured bacterium
Lineage: Bacteria
Description: bacterial SSU rRNA
Rfam family: Bacterial small subunit ribosomal RNA
Source: RNAcentral